This 416-nucleotide ribosomal RNA is filed under the name uncultured bacterium. Its description in RNAcentral is "bacterial SSU rRNA". It matches the Rfam family "Bacterial small subunit ribosomal RNA", at positions 29 to 437 of the family's 1533-position model. The record is from RNAcentral.
AGUGAUCGCUGGCGGCGUGCUUAACACAUGCAAGUCGAGCGAGACCUGGCAGUGUAUCGUCAGGUCUAGCGGCAGACGGGUGAGUAAUACUUGGGCAAUCUGCCCUUGAGUGGGAAACAACCUUCCGAAAGGAGGGCUAAUGUCCCAUAAGACCACGGGAUGGCAUCAUCCAGAGGUCAAAGCUCCGUAAGGGGCCCUUGAGGAGGAGCCUGAGUCCUANCAUGGUAGUUGGUGAGGUAAUGGCUCACCAAGCCUUUGACGGGUAGCCGGCCUGAAAGGGUGAUCGGCCACACUGGCACUGAGACACGGGCCAGACUCCUACGGGAGGCAGCAGUGGGGAAUUUUGGACAAUGGGGCAACCCUGAUCCAGCGACGCCGCGUGAAGGAUGAAGGUCUUCGGAUUGUAAACUUCUUUU